This 83-nucleotide transfer RNA is filed under the name Bacillota bacterium. RNAcentral describes it as "tRNA-Leu". It matches the Rfam family "tRNA". Rfam says of the family: Transfer RNA (tRNA) molecules are approximately 80 nucleotides in length. Lineage: Bacteria; Bacillati; Bacillota. RNAcentral also lists the same sequence under 1 other name. The record is from RNAcentral.
GCGGAUGUGGCGGAAUUGGCAGACGCACUAGACUUAGGAUCUAGCGCAGCAGCGUGGGGGUUCGAGUCCCUUCAUCCGCACCA